AAGUCGUAACAAGGUUUCCGUUGGUGAACCAGCGGAAGGAUCAUUACCAUAAUCCAUUAAAGAUUAUAUAUCAAUCAACUAUGUGAACCUUUAAAACUGUCUUUUGGAAUAUAUAUUAUUCCAAAUGUACAUGUUCUAUUAAUUGGAAACACAACUUCACGGUUGUGUGGAAGAUUAAGAAAAACCUCUGUACAUUUUAUAUAUAUUCCAAGUGUAUUUUCACAAGAAAUACACUAAAUAUUAAAACCAUUAAAACCAUAAGAUAAAACAUAUAUACAGAAUAUAAAGCAACAUGCAGAAAUGCAUAUUGCAAUAUAAAAUUAAUAUAUGACAACUUUUAACGGCGGAUCUCUUGGCUCGU
Molecule: unclassified non-coding RNA, 361 nt
Filed under: fungal sp.
Lineage: Eukaryota; Fungi
Description: partial internal transcribed spacer region
Rfam family: Eukaryotic small subunit ribosomal RNA (bases 1-46)
Source: RNAcentral